RNAcentral lists this ribosomal RNA (496 nucleotides) under uncultured bacterium. RNAcentral describes it as "bacterial SSU rRNA". It matches the Rfam family "Bacterial small subunit ribosomal RNA", at positions 29 to 507 of the family's 1533-position model. The record is from RNAcentral.
AGUGAACGCUAGCGGCAGGCUUAAUACAUGCAAGGUUGAGGGGCAGCAUGAUAUACGCGAGUAUAUUGAUGGCGACCGGCGGACGGGUGAGUAAUAGGUAGGAGACCUACCUCAUACAGGGGGAUAGCAUAGAGAAAUCUGUGGUAAUACCCCAUGAGGUUAUAUGAAUAGAGGCAUAUAAUCAAAGCAUAAGCGAUUAUGCGGUAUGAGAGGGGCCUACUGACCAUUAGCUAGUUGGUGAGGUAAGGGCUCACCAAGGCGAAGAUGGUUAGGGGUUUUGAGAGAGAGACCCCCCACAUUGGAACUGAGAGACGGUCCAGACUCCUACGGGAGGCAGCAGUAGGGAAUAUUGGGCAAUGGGCGAAAGCCUGACCCAGCCAUGCCGCGUGAAGGAAGACGGCCUUAUGGGUUGUAAACUUCUUUACUACGCGAAUAGAGGUUAGUACGAGAUACUAAUAGGAAGGUAGUGUAGUAAAAAGCACCGGCUAACUCCGUG